RNAcentral lists this long non-coding RNA (2948 nucleotides) under Panax ginseng (ginseng). Its description in RNAcentral is "long non-coding RNA (PGIN_LNC001986)". The record is from RNAcentral. Lineage: Eukaryota; Viridiplantae; Streptophyta; Magnoliopsida; Apiales; Araliaceae.
AAAUUAAAAAAAAGAAUUUUUCCAUCGUUUCCGUUUCCCUUCUCUCUCCUCCCCCCUCACACAAAUACUGUGACACCAUUCACCACUUACAAAUUACAGACAAACAUCACCAUUCUUCUUUUCCGUCGGCUUGUUGGUUGGGGGGAAUGAAGUGAAGAAACAAGAAUUGUUUACUGGGUGCCUACCACUCAGAAGCCCACACUUGUCUUCGAGGUGAAAUUUUUGUUAAAUAUAAUUUUACUCAUUACUUUCAAUUUCAUCAAAGUUUUCAGAUGAUCCAUUAUUGUCAUAAAGUACAACAGUGUUUGAAGGUAAAACAAUACACGAAAUUUUUACAGUUUUAUUGGGUCUUAUUUUCUUUAAUUUAUCGGUGAUAAAACAAGGUACAAUGUGGUUUUAUUCUCUUUAUUUUAAUCAUAUUCGAUAAUAAUGGGUAAGACUAAUGAUUCUGGGUUUUGCCUAAUAAUUCCUAACAUUAAUGUUACUGUAUUUUAUUUUAUUUUGUUUAUUUUAUUGUUUCCAUAUCUAAAUGGGUUUUACCAAAGAUUCUGGGUUUUGUUCAAGAGAUCCUUACAUUGAUGUUAGUGGGCAUUUUUGUUGCCAUUUCUACUUAUUUUAUUUUUAUUAUUUUUUCGGGUUUCAUACUUUCAUGGGUUUUGCCUAACACUCUUUAUAUGAGUUUUGAACAAAAAAGAAAAGAAUAGAAAACUUAAAUUAAAAGAGAAGUUUUUCUUUGUGUUGUUUUUGAGUUUUUUAAUAGAAAAGAAUAGAAAAUUAAAAAAAAAGAAGAAAAAUAUCACUUUUACAAAUUUACCUUUAUAUUAAUUAUAACCAUUGAACAUGAAUAAAAAUAUGCAAGAUAAAUUUAAUCAAAAGAAAAAAUUCCAUAAUCAAAUACAAAUAUCUAAAGAAAUGUUAAACAAAAACUACUUCUACAAAGUUAUUGUCAUACAAUACCCAAAAAUCAUUAAACAUAAUCUGUAUUAUUAAUAUUAACGGAGAUUAUUCAUCAAAUUCUUCAAGAAAUUCAAUCUCCUCUCAAAUAGUAACCCAAACACUGCUCGUGUCUUGUCUUGAUUUUCUAGUAGCUAUAAAUAGGCCUCAUCGAUUUUUUCCUCAUCAAAAUUCAUUUCAAUUAGUCCUUUAAAGAUAUUUUGCAGAAUAGACUCGCACAGAUGAAUUGAUAAAUGCUUUUGCCUGUUUUUCAAAUGUCUCCCCUUACUUUUCCAAUAUGGUAGCUAAUCUAUCCAUCGGUUAAUUUACCUUCAUCAUCAAAAUGUUUUGCGUUUUUCUUUUUAUUCUUUUGAAUAUAAAAUCUGAUAUCAAUAUUUCUUAAACUAUGUGGUGCGCUGAUGCCCAGGAUCCAACAUCAGAUUCUAUCACAUGAUACUCUUUUAUGGAAAUUGAUCUCCAAGUACUAUUUCUUUAUCAAACCUGUUGUGAUGCAAUCAAACUUGUUCACUUAACACAAAGGAAAAAUGCAAUCAGUUUGUUAUACAAUCUCUUCCUUGGCCUCAUACAGGAAAAAGAAAAAGAAAAAAAUUUAACCAUUUCCAUCAGGAACUCAUAUGGAUUUCAUAAUGCGAAAUUUUAAAAUUAAUUUCCUUCUGAUCCUCACGGUUGAUUUUUUUGGGUUACAUUUUUUUUAACAACAAAUACAUGGACUUGAGAAUCCAGAUUUAUAUAUGGUUAAUGGUAGUAUGAGAACUCGUUUGCGACUACAAAGAAGUUCGCGUCAAAGAGUCUUUCUCUUUAUCAGCUUAGGUUUAGUAGAUAAUAAUAAAUUGGAGACAUGAGUUGUAAUUUAAAAUUUAUUAUAUUGAAAGUUGAGGAUAAUAUGAGAAUUAUAACAAUAUUACUCAUUCCAAUUUCUUUUCCGUCCAAAUCUGGCCAAUUUUGGAAGAAAAAGUUUGGCAGGAAAAGUGGCCAAGUUUUCUUUCCAUUUCUUUUCUUUUCCGUUUAUUAAAAAACUCAAAAACAUAGGAAUUGGAAAGAAAACUUAAAUUUUCUGUCCAUUUUUUUUUCUGUUCAUUUUAAAACUCAGAAACAGAGUGUAAGAAUUCCAUACAUUGAUGUUAGUACUUAGUUGGCGAAUUUGUUGUGAUUUCUGUCUUUUCUCAGUUAAUCAUACAUACCCUUCUGCAAACACAAAAUUAAAUAUACGUAUUAUUUAGGCAAGUUAGACAAAUGCUGUGGCCUCCGCAUUUGCAUAUAUUUGUCAAUUGAAAUUUGGAUGAUUAUUGAAUCCCGUGUCAAUAAAGAAAUGCUUACAAAGAUAAAUGUGCUUGCAGAAUGGCUAGAUUUUUCAGAAGAGACUUUGAUGUGUUUCCUCGCAUAUACCUGGUCAGUGUCAUUCUUGGAGGUUACUGUGGUUAUGUUAUUGGGGAGUGGUAAGUCUUCACGGUUUUCAACUAUUAAUUGCUUAAUUAAUCGGCUUGCACUUUGAAUUACUUGUGCCCAUAUGCAUAUGAUUAAAUAUUUUAUUGACCUUCAUUUUUUUUGAGUCUACACUUUAAUCUCUGAACCAAACCUGAAUCUUUGUUGAAUAUAUUUUAUGCAUGUAACGGACAAUUGGCUUGUUACAUAACCAUUAUUUACCUCACUCCGUCCUUCACCUAUCUGUAAAGUUGUCCGCACAUAAGUAAUUAUUUUUUCAAGUGAUUGGAGUUUUUUCCUUUAAUGAUAUGCAGAAGAUAUUGUAUUAUGAUUAGAUCCUUAGGAUGCUUUAAUUUAUGUUGAGUUGGUACUUUUCCUGUCGUUCUCCUAGCCUUUGCUUCCUUACUCUGAGGAUCGCCACUAUUAUAAAUGAAGUUAACUUUUUGUAUUUGUAGAAAUUUGAUAGUUGGUAUUUUUGCCACUAUUAUAGAAUCAGUUGAAUGCUUGAUGUAAUUUCUUUUUAACAGGUCAGGAAAAAGCAGGAUGAGUGUAUUGAUGAUGAUGGGCGAGAG